UUAAGCGACUAAGCGUACACGGUGGAUGCCCUGGCAGUCAGAGGCGAUGAAGGACGUGCUAAUCUGCGAUAAGCGUCGGUAAGGUGAUAUGAACCGUUAUAACCGGCGAUUUCCGAAUGGGGAAACCCAGUGUGAUUCGUCACACUAUCAUUAACUGAAUCCAUAGGUUAAUGAGGCGAACCGGGGGAACUGAAACAUCUAAGUACCCCGAGGAAAAGAAAUCAACCGAGAUUCCCCCAGUAGCGGCGAGCGAACGGGGAGCAGCCCAGAGCCUGAAUCAGUGUGUGUGUUAGUGGAAGCGUCUGGAAAGGCGCGCGAUACAGGGUGACAGCCCCGUACACAAAAAUGCACAUGCUGUGAGCUCGAUGAGUAGGGCGGGACACGUGGUAUCCUGUCUGAAUAUGGGGGGACCAUCCUCCAAGGCUAAAUACUCCUGACUGACCGAUAGUGAACCAGUACCGUGAGGGAAAGGCGAAAAGAACCCCGGCGAGGGGAGUGAAAAAGAACCUGAAACCGUGUACGUACAAGCAGUGGGAGCCUCUUUAUGGGGUGACUGCGUACCUUUUGUAUAAUGGGUCAGCGACUUAUAUUCUGUAGCAAGGUUAACCGAAUAGGGGAGCCGAAGGGAAACCGAGUCUUAACUGGGCGUUAAGUUGCAGGGUAUAGACCCGAAACCCGGUGAUCUAGCCAUGGGCAGGUUGAAGGUUGGGUAACACUAACUGGAGGACCGAACCGACUAAUGUUGAAAAAUUAGCGGAUGACUUGUGGCUGGGGGUGAAAGGCCAAUCAAACCGGGAGAUAGCUGGUUCUCCCCGAAAGCUAUUUAGGUAGCGCCUCGUGAAUUCAUCUCCGGGGGUAGAGCACUGUUUCGGCAAGGGGGUCAUCCCGACUUACCAACCCGAUGCAAACUGCGAAUACCGGAGAAUGUUAUCACGGGAGACACACGGCGGGUGCUAACGUCCGUCGUGAAGAGGGAAACAACCCAGACCGCCAGCUAAGGUCCCAAAGUCAUGGUUAAGUGGGAAACGAUGUGGGAAGGCCCAGACAGCCAGGAUGUUGGCUUAGAAGCAGCCAUCAUUUAAAGAAAGCGUAAUAGCUCACUGGUCGAGUCGGCCUGCGCGGAAGAUGUAACGGGGCUAAACCAUGCACCGAAGCUGCGGCAGCGACGCUUAUGCGUUGUUGGGUAGGGGAGCGUUCUGUAAGCCUGCGAAGGUGUGCUGUGAGGCAUGCUGGAGGUAUCAGAAGUGCGAAUGCUGACAUAAGUAACGAUAAAGCGGGUGAAAAGCCCGCUCGCCGGAAGACCAAGGGUUCCUGUCCAACGUUAAUCGGGGCAGGGUGAGUCGACCCCUAAGGCGAGGCCGAAAGGCGUAGUCGAUGGGAAACAGGUUAAUAUUCCUGUACUUGGUGUUACUGCGAAGGGGGGACGGAGAAGGCUAUGUUGGCCGGGCGACGGUUGUCCCGGUUUAAGCGUGUAGGCUGGUUUUCCAGGCAAAUCCGGAAAAUCAAGGCUGAGGCGUGAUGACGAGGCACUACGGUGCUGAAGCAACAAAUGCCCUGCUUCCAGGAAAAGCCUCUAAGCAUCAGGUAACAUCAAAUCGUACCCCAAACCGACACAGGUGGUCAGGUAGAGAAUACCAAGGCGCUUGAGAGAACUCGGGUGAAGGAACUAGGCAAAAUGGUGCCGUAACUUCGGGAGAAGGCACGCUGAUAUGUAGGUGAAGUCCCUUGCGGAUGGAGCUGAAAUCAGUCGAAGAUACCAGCUGGCUGCAACUGUUUAUUAAAAACACAGCACUGUGCAAACACGAAAGUGGACGUAUACGGUGUGACGCCUGCCCGGUGCCGGAAGGUUAAUUGAUGGGGUUAGCGGUAACGCGAAGCUCUUGAUCGAAGCCCCGGUAAACGGCGGCCGUAACUAUAACGGUCCUAAGGUAGCGAAAUUCCUUGUCGGGU
Molecule: ribosomal RNA, 1950 nt
Filed under: metagenome
Description: bacterial LSU rRNA
Rfam family: Bacterial large subunit ribosomal RNA
Source: RNAcentral